Molecule: unclassified non-coding RNA, 189 nt
Filed under: plant metagenome
Description: partial contains small subunit ribosomal RNA and internal transcribed spacer 1
Rfam family: Eukaryotic small subunit ribosomal RNA (bases 1-45)
Source: RNAcentral
AGUCGUAACAAGGUUUCCGUAGGUGAACCUGCGGAAGGAUCAUUACCUAGAGUUUGUAGGGCUUUUGCCUGCUAUCUCUUACCCAUGUCUUUUGAGUACCUUCGUUUCCUCGGCGGGUUCGCCCGCCGAUUGGACAAUUUAAACCACUUGCAGUUGCAAUCAGCGUCUGAAAAAACAUAAUAAUUACAA